GCCUGCCUAGCUCAAUCGGAUAGAGCGUGAGACUUUUAAGCCGCGGGUUAAUUGCUUAGGUAAUCUCAAGGCUGCGGGUUCGACCCCCGCGGUGGGCU
This is a transfer RNA of Phanerochaete carnosa HHB-10118-sp, 98 nucleotides long. It matches the Rfam family "tRNA". From Rfam's summary of the family: Transfer RNA (tRNA) molecules are approximately 80 nucleotides in length. Their secondary structure includes four short double-helical elements and three loops (D, anti-codon, and T loops). The record is from Rfam. Lineage: Eukaryota; Fungi; Basidiomycota; Agaricomycetes; Polyporales; Phanerochaetaceae.